This 478-nucleotide ribosomal RNA is filed under the name uncultured bacterium. Its description in RNAcentral is "partial 16S ribosomal RNA". It matches the Rfam family "Bacterial small subunit ribosomal RNA", at positions 28 to 507 of the family's 1533-position model. The record is from RNAcentral.
GACGAACGCUGGCGGCGUGCUUAACACAUGCAAGUCGAACGGGCUGCCUGGUUUUCGGAUCGGGUGGUGAGUGGCGAACGGGUGAGUAACACGUGAGUAACCUGCCCCUCUCUUUGGGAUAACGUCGGGAAAUCGGCGCUAAUACCGGGUAUUCUGGCUUCCUCGCAUGGGGUUGUUGGGAAAGGUUUUUUCUGGUGGGGGAUGGGCUCGCGGCCUAUCAGCUUGUUGGUGGGGUGAUGGCCUACCAAGGCGGUGACGGGUAGCCGGCCUGAGAGGGUGUCCGGCCACACUGGGACUGAGACACGGCCCAGACUCCUACGGGAGGCAGCAGUGGGGAAUAUUGCACAAUGGGCGGAAGCCUGAUGCAGCGACGCCGCGUGGGGGAUGACGGCCGUCGGGUUGUAAACCUCUUUCAGUGCAGAACAAGGCUCUUUGUGGGUUGAGGGUAGGCGCAGAAGAAGCGCCGGCUAACUACGUG